This 384-nucleotide long non-coding RNA is filed under the name Fukomys damarensis (Damara mole-rat). RNAcentral describes it as "lncRNA (ENSFDAG00000022387.1)". Lineage: Eukaryota; Metazoa; Chordata; Mammalia; Rodentia; Bathyergidae. The record is from RNAcentral.
UGGGAGUGUGUAGAGAAUUUCAGGCAAAGGAUACUAAAUAAUAUAAGCAAAUGUGUCCCCUGAGGAAAUGCAGUGGCUUAAGAAUAAAGAAAAGAAGGAAACAGUACUUUGCUAAGGCUUUCUUUGCAUGGUCUCUGGCUCUCAGGCACAUCUUGUUCUCUUUUUCCUUUCAGCACUUCAGGAGUCUCCUUGGAGGUUUGAGAAGACAGUUUUGCUGGAUGUGGAUUUUUCACUCCCAGCACUUUCAGUUUCAGGGGCCACCUCUGCCGCCCCUGCCCCCAGGAGGAAGUGCAGGAUUCCACCUGUUAGUGGAGGCUGUCAGCCUCUGAUCUUGUGCUCCCUGUGGAUGCUGUGUGGGCCCCUGAAGCUGCCUGAGGCCCCACG